UACAGAGGUCUCAAGCGUUGUUCGGAUUCAUUGGGCGUAAAGGGUGCGUAGGCGGCGCCGUAAGUCGGAUGUGAAAUCUCAGGGCUCAACCCUGAAACUGCAUUCGAUACUGCGGUGCUUGAGGACUGGAGAGGAGACUGGAAUUCAUGGUGUAGCAGUGAAAUGCGUAGAGAUCAUGAGGAAGACCAGUGGCGAAGGCGGGUCUCUGGACAGUUCCUGACACUGAGACACGAAGGCCAGGGGGAGCAAACGGG
This 254-nucleotide ribosomal RNA is filed under the name uncultured bacterium. RNAcentral describes it as "partial 16S ribosomal RNA". It matches the Rfam family "Bacterial small subunit ribosomal RNA", at positions 524 to 776 of the family's 1533-position model. The record is from RNAcentral.